This 465-nucleotide long non-coding RNA is filed under the name Zalophus californianus (California sea lion). RNAcentral describes it as "lncRNA (ENSZCAG00015001568.1)". Lineage: Eukaryota; Metazoa; Chordata; Mammalia; Carnivora; Otariidae. The record is from RNAcentral.
AAGGAAGAGCCGGAAGCUGGACGCCCCUCUGGGAAGCAGCAGUAAAGUCUUGCUCUGAUGUGCUGGCUGAGGAAGGAUGCCACUUGCAGUUCUGAGGGGCAUGUGUGCAGGAACCUUGUCCCUGAAACUACUUGUUCCAAGCCUCCUUCUAUCCAUCCUGAAGGUAAAUGAAAGCAUCAGCAAAGAUAAAAUGAGGAGAAAGCAGAAAUAAAACUUCCAGCUCUACUUCUAAAGGUUGGGGAAAAUGUCAUGCACAUAAGGCCUCCACUGGUUUUUGAAUCAGAGGACAAAACUGGGAUUUUUUUGGUCUAAUAAUCUAAUCUUCUGUACGAAGACCCCAUUAAAACUAUUCUGAAGGAUCACACUUGAGCCACAUUUUCAUUGGUAACUUCAUUCUGUCUACCACUCCAACUAACUAGAAAAGCAGUUCUGAAAGGACCUUUAAGCACAACCUCUAUUUUCUGC